RNAcentral lists this transfer RNA (87 nucleotides) under Halobacteria archaeon. RNAcentral describes it as "tRNA-Ser". It matches the Rfam family "tRNA". Rfam says of the family: Transfer RNA (tRNA) molecules are approximately 80 nucleotides in length. Their secondary structure includes four short double-helical elements and three loops (D, anti-codon, and T loops). Lineage: Archaea; Methanobacteriati; Methanobacteriota; Halobacteria. The record is from RNAcentral.
GCCCGGGUGGCGAAAUUGGUAGACGCAAGGGACUUGAAAUCCCUCGGUGGCAACACCAUGCCGGUUCGAUUCCGGCCCCGGGCACCA